AUACAUAGGGGGCAAGCGUUAUCCGGAAUUAUUGGGCGUAAAGCGUGCGUAGGCGGUUUAUUAAGUCUGAUGUUAAAUCCCACAGCUCAACUGUGGGCUGCCAUUGGAAACUGGUAGACUUGAGUGCGGUAGAGGUAAGUGGAAUUCCAAGUGGAGCGGGGGAAUGCGUAGAUAUUUGGAGGAACACCAGUGGCGAAGGCGGCUUACUGGGCCGUUACUGACGCUGAGGCACGAAAGCGUGGGGAGCAAACAGGUUUAGAUACCCUGGUAGUCCGCGCAGUAAACGAUGCGCACCAGGUGUCGGGCGGCAGCGCCCGGUACCGGAGCAAACGCGAUGAGUGCGCCGCCUGGGGAGUAUGCCCGCAAGGGUGAAACUUAAAGGAAUUGACGGGG
Molecule: ribosomal RNA, 393 nt
Filed under: uncultured bacterium
Lineage: Bacteria
Description: partial 16S ribosomal RNA
Rfam family: Bacterial small subunit ribosomal RNA
Source: RNAcentral